AGCCAGAGAGCAGUGAUUGGUCAGACCAUAGACAAUAUAGAAGACAGCGCGCUAGCGUAUCUAGUCUAUGUAUAUCUAUGGUCGGAACGUCUGGUAGCAUCUCUGGCUGCUGUUGAUCUUGUUUUUGGAGUAAAACACGAUGUUCAGAGGGAGAUGAUGCCACAUCUGGUCCAGCCGAUGGAAGGUCUUGAAGUUCUCUGACUGGCCUCGACUGAAGAUGGUCGUCUCACUGGAUUUAAGGUUCAGAUGCUCAGUAACAAACUCCACCAAUGUGCCAACAGGGAAGCUUUAGCUUUAUUAAAUGUUGCUAUGAAGGUUUCGCUGUUUUUCUUUGUGAAUGCAAUGUGCUCCAACUGAAACUUGAAUUAGAACUUAGAAGUAAAUCCUUCCAUCUGAAAGGAUUUAGUUGCAUUAAUAACCUCAUAACAUUCUAAUUUUUCUUCCAGUCUUAGUUGGAAAUAGAAUCUCUGUAUUGAUUCAGGUAAAAACUGAACUUCACAGCAUGUUGGAGCAAAACAACCAGAUGAAAACUGUGAUGGUGUUGGAUUGUCAGACCGUAAUGUUGCAGCUCAAAGCAGCUUUUCUAUCUCAGUUCAUUCUGACAUUCAGCUAUGAAUCAACACAGCAGAUGGUGAUCCAUGCUGUGGAAGUCUCACAUCUCCUGAUUUAAUGGAGCUGCUUUGCACUUUUUACACUGUUUAUUCACCAACACUUUAUUUGAUAAAAGUCCCAUCUAGUUUUUAUGAGGAAUGUGAUGUUUUAAUUUCUCUGUGAAUAACUGCAGUCUAAUGCAACAGCUGGAGUUGUAACAUCUGUCCUGAUAGUGAUCAUGAAGUAUUGAUCAGAAUACUUAUGGU
Amphiprion ocellaris (clown anemonefish) is the source of this 857-nucleotide long non-coding RNA. The record is from Ensembl. Lineage: Eukaryota; Metazoa; Chordata; Actinopteri; Pomacentridae.